AAAUACAGACACCCUUCUAGUGAAAGGUCCUCACUUCAGCUGAAGAGAAAGAAGUUGGUUCAUGACUCCUAGGUACACAGGGUGCAUCACUUGGAAAUGGAUGCUGAAACUCCAAAUCCCAAUCCUGGUCACCUUUGAUGAAUGCAGACAUCAUAUGUGUUGCCUGUAGCAGCCAUGCAAGGGGUUUGAGUUGUCUUGAACGUUUCUGAUGAGUGGAGUUUUAACCCAAUUUCCAUCUGCUGCACCUGUACUGCAUGGAUUCUUGACCAUUUCUGCAUGGUAGUAUAAAAACUGCUACCCUCCUCGCUCCUGUAAUGCAGACCACAUUUACAGCUUCGUAAAGUGUUUAAUUACUUUGACUCUUGCUGAACUCUUGCU
Trichomycterus rosablanca is the source of this 378-nucleotide long non-coding RNA. RefSeq lists it as uncharacterized. The transcript is spliced from 3 exons. NCBI's taxonomy places the organism in Eukaryota, Metazoa, Chordata, Actinopteri, Siluriformes, Trichomycteridae. The record is from RefSeq and is a predicted model, not a curated record.